This 415-nucleotide ribosomal RNA is filed under the name Burkholderia sp. CK11. RNAcentral describes it as "bacterial SSU rRNA". It matches the Rfam family "Bacterial small subunit ribosomal RNA", at positions 592 to 1006 of the family's 1533-position model. The record is from RNAcentral. Lineage: Bacteria; Pseudomonadati; Pseudomonadota; Betaproteobacteria; Burkholderiales; Burkholderiaceae.
AUGUGAAAUCCCCGGGCUCAACCUGGGAACUGCAUUGGUGACUGCAUCGCUUGAGUAUGGCAGAGGGGGGUAGAAUUCCACGUGUAGCAGUGAAAUGCGUAGAGAUGUGGAGGAAUACCGAUGGCGAAGGCAGCCCCCUGGGUCAAUAUGACGCUCAUGCACGAAAGCGUGGGGAGCAAACAGGAUUAGAUACCCUGGUAGUCCACGCCCUAAACGAUGUCAACUGGUUGUCGGGUCUUCAUUGACUUGGUAACGUAGCUAACGCGUGAAGUUGACCGCCUGGGGAGUACGGUCGCAAGAUUAAAACUCAAAGGAAUUGACGGGGACCCGCACAAGCGGUGGAUGAUGUGGAUUAAUUCGAUGCAACGCGAAAAACCUUACCUACCCUUGACAGAACGGAAUUCUGUAGGUGGAA